UCCUCUGUGGCGCAAUUGGCUAGCGCGUCUGACUGUUAAUCAGGAGGUUGAAAGUUCGAGCCUUUCCGGAGGAG
Molecule: transfer RNA, 74 nt
Organism: Claviceps purpurea 20.1
Lineage: Eukaryota; Fungi; Ascomycota; Sordariomycetes; Hypocreales; Clavicipitaceae
Rfam family: tRNA
About the family: Transfer RNA (tRNA) molecules are approximately 80 nucleotides in length. Their secondary structure includes four short double-helical elements and three loops (D, anti-codon, and T loops).
Source: Rfam